This 402-nucleotide ribosomal RNA is filed under the name uncultured bacterium. RNAcentral describes it as "bacterial SSU rRNA". It matches the Rfam family "Bacterial small subunit ribosomal RNA", at positions 355 to 774 of the family's 1533-position model. The record is from RNAcentral.
UGGGGAAUCUUGCACAAUGGGGGCAACCCUGAUGCAGCGACGCCGCGUGAGCGAUGAAGCCCUUCGGGGCGUAAAGCUCUUUCGACCGGAACGAUAAUGACGGUACCGGGAGAAGAAGCUGCGGCUAACUACGUGCCAGCAGCCGCGGUAAUACGUAGGCAGCAAGCGUUGUUCGGAGUUACUGGGCGUAAAGAGUGCGUAGGCGGUUUUCUAAGUUCGGUGUGAAAUCUCCCGGCUUAACUGGGAGGGUGCGCCGAAGACUGGGAAGCUGGAGUGUGGGAAAGGCAGGCGGAAUUCCUGGUGUAGCGGUGAAAUGCGUAGAGAUCAGGAGGAACACCGGCGGUGUAGACGGCGUGCUAGACCAUAACUGACGCUGAGGCACGAAAGCGUGGGUAGCAAACA